GGCCUCUUAGUCUAAGGGUUAGGACGAUAGCCUCUCAUGCUAUAAAUACGGGUUCGAAUCCCGUAGAGGUCA
This 72-nucleotide transfer RNA is filed under the name Deltaproteobacteria bacterium. RNAcentral describes it as "tRNA-Glu". It matches the Rfam family "tRNA". Rfam says of the family: Transfer RNA (tRNA) molecules are approximately 80 nucleotides in length. The record is from RNAcentral. Lineage: Bacteria; Pseudomonadati; Myxococcota; Myxococcia.